RNAcentral lists this ribosomal RNA (505 nucleotides) under uncultured bacterium. RNAcentral's name for it is "partial 16S ribosomal RNA". It matches the Rfam family "Bacterial small subunit ribosomal RNA", at positions 28 to 507 of the family's 1533-position model. The record is from RNAcentral.
GACGAACGCUGGCGGCGUGCCUAAUACAUGCAAGUAGAACGCACAGUUUAUACCGUAGCUUGCUACACCAUAGACUGUGAGUUGCGAACGGGUGAGUAACGCGUAGGUAACCUGCCUGGUAGCGGGGGAUAACUAUUGGAAACGAUAGCUAAUACCGCAUAAUAUUAAUUAUUGCAUGAUAAUUGAUUGAAAGAUGCAACUGCAUCACUACCAGAUGGACCUGCGUUGUAUUAGCUAGUAGGUGAGGUAACGGCUCACCUAGGCGACGAUACAUAGCCGACCUGAGAGGGUGGUCGGCCACACUGGGACUGAGACACGGCCCAGACUCCUACGGGAGGCAGCAGUAGGGAAUCUUCGGCAAUGGACGAAAGUCUGACCGAGCAACGCCGCGUGAGUGAAGAAGGUUUUCGGAUCGUAAAGCUCUGUUGUAAGAGAAGAACGGGUGUGAGAGUGGAAAGUUCACACUGUGACGGUAUCUUACCAGAAAGGGACGGCUAACUACGUG